RNAcentral lists this ribosomal RNA (253 nucleotides) under uncultured bacterium. RNAcentral's name for it is "partial 16S ribosomal RNA". It matches the Rfam family "Bacterial small subunit ribosomal RNA", at positions 524 to 776 of the family's 1533-position model. The record is from RNAcentral.
UACGUAGGGUGCGAGCGUUAAUCGGAAUUACUGGGCGUAAAGGGCGCGUAGGCGGCCUGCUAAGUCGGACGUGAAAUCCCUCGGCUCAACCGGGGAACUGCGUCCGAUACUGGUGGGCUUGAAUCCGGGAGAGGGAUGUGGAAUUCCAGGUGUAGCGGUGAAAUGCGUAGAUAUCUGGAGGAACACCGGUGGCGAAGGCGGCAUCCUGGACCGGUAUUGACGCUGAUGCGCGAAAGCCAGGGGAGCAAACGGG